AUUAGUGUUGAAGAAGCACUUGAGUUAUGUCUCAAAAAACUCCUAAACAUCUAGCCAGGUCUUUGAAAAUAAGAGUCAAAAUUUACCUGUAUGACAAGAUUGACUGGUUAUUUACCCAGAUUAAUAAUCUAGUUCAGUCAAAAUCUUUAAUUAUAUCAAUGAUUCAGCAUUAAUGAGUUGUAUUUAACAGUUUUAUUGAGAUAUAAUUCAUAUACCAUGUAAUUAACCCAUUUGAAAUGUACAAUUUAGUGGUUUUUAGUAUAUUCUAGGAUUGUGCAACUAUCAGCCACUGUCAAAUUUUAGAAUCAUCUUGUCAUUCUAAGGGGAUGCCCCCAUAAUCCAGCAAUCCCACUUCUGGUAUGUAUCUAAAAUAAUCGGAAGCAGGAUCUUGAACAGACCCUUGCAUAUCCAUGUUCAUGGUGACAUUAUUCACAAUAGCCAAGAAGUGGAAGUAACCCAGUGUCUGCCAGCAGAUGAAUGUAUAAACAAAAUGUGAUGCACAUACAGAAUGGAAUAUUAUUCAGCCUUAAAAAGGAAAGAAAUACUAACAUGCUAUAAUAUAGAUGAGCACUAAGAAUAAAUAUUAUGCUGAGUGAAGUAAAGUCACAAAAAGGCAAAUACAGUAUGACUCCACUUAUAUGAGGAACUUAGAGUAGUCAAAGUCACAGAGACAGAAUAGUCAUCGCCAGGGUCUGAGGGCAGGAGGAAACAGGAAGUUGUUUAAUGGGUAGAGUUUCCUUUUUGCAAUCUAUGUUACAAUCUGUUUAGUACUAUCGGAGAUCUAUUUUACAAUGAUGUGGAGACCUAUUUUACAAUCAUGUGAAUCUACUUAAUACUACUGAACUGUACACUUAAAAACAAUUACAGUGGUAAAUUUUAGAUUAUGUGGCUUUUUUUAAACCACAAUUAAAAAUUUUAAGGAGGAAAACUCUACACCUAUUCCAUUCCUGUUCGCUCCACCCACAACCUUAAGCAAUCACCACCCUAUUUUCUGUCUCUAGAGAUGCAUCUGUUCUGGACUUUUCAUAUAAAUGGAAUCAUACGAUAUAUAGAAUUUUUGGUGUAGUAGAAUGUUUUUAAGAUUUUUCCAUGUUACAACAUGUAUCAAUACUUCAUUGCUUCUUUUUGCCCAGUAAUACUCCAUCCACUCUGUGGAUAACACAUUUUAUUUACUCAUUCAGCAAUUGAUGAACAUUUGGGCUGUUUCUAUUAAUUGGCUAUUAUGAAUUCUGCUGCUAUGAACAUUUAUUGACAAAUUUUUCUAUGGACAUAUGUUUUCAUUUCUCUUGGGCAUGAAUACCUAGGAGUGUAUAUGCUGGGUCCUGGUAGCUCUAUGUUGAACAUUUUGAGGAAUUGAAAACUUUUCCAAAGUGGCUGCACCAUUUUAUAUUCCUGCCUAUGGUAUAUAACGGUUCAGAUUUCUUCACAUUUACCAACAUGUGUCCUUACCUGUCUCUUUGAUUAUAGCCAUCCCACUGGGUGUAAAGUGGUACCUCAACUUACACCAACUGGGUGUAAAGUGGUUUUAAUUUGCAUUUUCCCAAUGGCUAAUAAUGUUGAGCAUCUUUUCAUUUGCUUUUCAGCCCUUUGUAUAUCUUUGGAGAACUAUCUUUUCAGAUCCUUUACCUGUUUUGUAGUUGGGUUAUUUAUCUUUUGAUAAUUGAGUUACGAGGGGUAGUAUAUUCUACAUACAGGCCCCUUCU
RNAcentral lists this long non-coding RNA (1703 nucleotides) under Canis lupus familiaris (dog). RNAcentral describes it as "lncRNA (ENSCAFG00000058622.1, ENSCAFG00845011462.1)". Lineage: Eukaryota; Metazoa; Chordata; Mammalia; Carnivora; Canidae. The record is from RNAcentral.